This 1541-nucleotide long non-coding RNA is filed under the name Marmota monax (woodchuck). The record is from RNAcentral. Lineage: Eukaryota; Metazoa; Chordata; Mammalia; Rodentia; Sciuridae.
AUUGCUAGCAUUGAAAAUCUUUGAUCUAAUAAUUCUUAGUUCUAACAUCCUGUUGCUGCCUAUUACAGAACCAACUCUUAAGCACCUGUAUGCAGCAUGUGCCUUUAAACCAUCACCCUCAGGUUUCUCCUUUCUCCUACCCAAAAUACUCCUACCACCCAAAUACAUCCAGAGUCCAGGUAGCUUGAAUUGCAUUGGGUCCCUCCUUUCCAUGACAUAUAUUCUUAAAAUUAUGAAAUAUACAAUGUAUAAAACUAUAGGGAACAUAUAUUUACCCUGUAAAGAAUGACCCUAGGGCUUUUGAUCAUGAAAUACCAAUACUUCUGCAGUAUUCCAUCCUAGUUUCCUUUUACCUGUACAUAACUACUAAUCAAAUGUGCUAAUCUCCCCCUUCUUCUUUUCCUUAUAAUUUUUUACCCUCUCUUUUUCAUUCUCUCUCUCUCUCUCUCUCUCCACACACAGAAUAUUUUUUUCAUGACACACUUGAAAAUAAAUUGUAUGCAUGAUACCCUUUACCUCUAAAUACUUCAGAUACAUUUUUAAAAGUAAUUUCUUUAUACAACUAUAAUAAAAUAAUCAACAUCAAGAAAUCAACCUUGGUACAGUAAUAUAUAGUCCAUAGACAUAAUUAAAUUUUGCCAGUUGACCUCCUAGUUUUCUCUCUUGGUCUCUUUAGUUUUCCUUGAUGUGUCACUAUUUCUCAGUCUUUGAUGUGAAAAUUUUGAAACCACAAUCCUUGUAAGAUGGCCCUUAGUUGCUUUUAGAUUGAAGAAUCCUCCUGGUGAGAUUCAGGUAGUGCUGAUGUGGUCAGGAAUGUUACAGAAGUGAUGUGCACCAUGAGUGUACCAUGUCAGGAGGAACGUUUUGGUUGGCUCCUUCAUUGGUCACUAGUUACAAGGUGUCUGCAGGUUUCUUCUCUGUGAAGUUUGUAGGUUCCCCUCGGUAACCCAUGAGUAAGUUGUGAGGGGACCUUCUGAGAGCCCCUGCUUCUCUUCAUCCAGUUGUGAUAAUUUCCUGAAACAGUUAUCCCUGUGGGUGGACAUUUACUAUGUUCCUAUUAGUCUUCAAUUUUUGCUCUUAUAAACAAUGCUUCUAUGAACAUCCUUUUCAAAAUCUCCUGGUAAACAAGGACACAGAUUUCUUUAAGGGCAAAUGCUUCUUCAACUUUAAAAAUACUCCCAGGUUUUUUUGCUUUUGGUUUUAGUUUUUCAAAACUACCAUGUCACUUUUUCACUCUCAUCAUUAGUGUCAAAGGCUUUCCUUUCUGCAUUUCCUUGACAGUAAAAUUGCCAGUGUUUCCCAUUUUUACCAAUUUGGUGGCUGUAAGAUGGGAUCCUAUCAGUUUUCAUUUGUAUUUCCCUCUUAACCAAAUGAAGUAGAGCAUCUUUUUUAUAUUAGGGGGCCAUUCAGUUUUCUUUUCACGCUGACAAUUUAGUCUUGGGAGAUUGACACUCAUAUGGUAAGUGUGUCAAAAAAUAAAUGAUCAGAUGAUUAUUAGAAGUUAGCUUUUAGGAAGAAAUUUGUUAAAUUCAUUUAAAUUG